AUGAGGAUGUGGACAGCUUGGUGCAUGGCCAUGUACUUCUUGGGAGCAAGAGCUGAAAUCACCCAGACCUUAAGUCUUGUGCUGAAAGAAGAUGAGAAAGCUACUCUGACGUGCAGCCAAAAUAAUGAUCACGGUUCAUGUACUGGUAUCUGCAGCAGCCAGGGAAGGGGUUGCAAAUGAUCUAUUAUUCCUAUGGUACAAAUCUGCAACAAGGGGAUGACAUUCCCACUGGAUACAAAGCUAACCGGAUAAACCGGGAAAACUUCAAUCUGGAUAUUUUGUCUGUGAAGAUGAACCAUUCGGGUGUCUAUUUCUGUGCCAGCAGUUUGGACACAACACUUCAAAGUCACUUGCUUUCUUUACAGAAACUUCUUUCCAGCACCCUCCCUUAA
Calidris pugnax (ruff) is the source of this 392-nucleotide non-coding RNA. The record is from the annotation of a RefSeq genome assembly. NCBI's taxonomy places the organism in Eukaryota, Metazoa, Chordata, Aves, Charadriiformes, Scolopacidae.